CAAUACGUCAGCGGCAGACGGGUGAGUAACGCGUGGGAAUCUACCCAGCUCUACGGAAUAACUCAGGGAAACUUGAGCUAAUACCGUAUACGUCCGAUAGGAGAAAGAUUUAUCGGAGUUGGAUGAGCCCGCGUUGGAUUAGCUAGUUGGUGGGGUAAUGGCCUACCAAGGCGACGAUCCAUAGCUGGUCUGAGAGGAUGAUCAGCCACACUGGGACUGAGACACGGCCCAGACUCCUACGGGAGGCAGCAGUGGGGAAUGUUGGACAAUGGGCGAAAGCCUGAUCCAGCCAUGCCGCGUGAGUGAUGAAGGCCCUAGGG
Molecule: ribosomal RNA, 320 nt
Filed under: uncultured bacterium
Lineage: Bacteria
Description: bacterial SSU rRNA
Rfam family: Bacterial small subunit ribosomal RNA
Source: RNAcentral